GGAGAGGUGCCGGAGUGGCCGAACGGACUGGUUUUGAAAACCAGCGGCCUUCACGGGCCCGAGGGUUCAAAUCCCUCCCUCUCCGCCA
Molecule: transfer RNA, 88 nt
Filed under: Planctomycetota bacterium
Lineage: Bacteria; Pseudomonadati; Planctomycetota
Description: Planctomycetes bacterium tRNA-Ser
Rfam family: tRNA
About the family: Transfer RNA (tRNA) molecules are approximately 80 nucleotides in length. Their secondary structure includes four short double-helical elements and three loops (D, anti-codon, and T loops).
Source: RNAcentral